UUUAUGGAGAGUUUGAUCCUGGCUCAGGACGAACGCUGGCGGCGUGCCUAAUACAUGCAAGUCGAGCGGAUCGAUGGGAGCUUGCUCCCUGAGAUCAGCGGCGGACGGGUGAGUAACACGUGGGUAACCUGCCUGUAAGACUGGGAUAACUCCGGGAAACCGGGGCUAAUACCGGAUAACACCUACCCCCGCAUGGGGGAAGGUUGAAAGGUGGCUUCGGCUAUCACUUACAGAUGGACCCGCGGCGCAUUAGCUAGUUG
This 260-nucleotide ribosomal RNA is filed under the name Rossellomorea marisflavi. Its description in RNAcentral is "Bacillus marisflavi partial 16S ribosomal RNA". It matches the Rfam family "Bacterial small subunit ribosomal RNA", at positions 1 to 251 of the family's 1533-position model. The record is from RNAcentral. Lineage: Bacteria; Bacillati; Bacillota; Bacilli; Caryophanales; Bacillaceae.